AACUGUAAAAUAAUCUAACUUUGUAGUGGUGGCUUGCCUAAGGUGAAUGAGUGUCGAGGAUCCCGGUCUUGGCAUUCGCCUGCAAGGCUAGAACGGAUCUAGACAGUUAAAUCUAAUUACAUCUAAAAUUAACCAAGAAUAUAAUUAAUUUACAAAUUUUAAUAAAAUAAUUAAAACUCUAAGCAACUAAACCCUAACCGAAGCCAAACCUAAAAUAAACCUUAAGCUAACUCUAACCAAACCC
This 244-nucleotide long non-coding RNA is filed under the name Brassica napus (rape). RNAcentral describes it as "long non-coding RNA (BNAP_LNC010952)". Lineage: Eukaryota; Viridiplantae; Streptophyta; Magnoliopsida; Brassicales; Brassicaceae. The record is from RNAcentral.